Molecule: transfer RNA, 63 nt
Filed under: Arcoscalpellum epeeum
Lineage: Eukaryota; Metazoa; Arthropoda; Thecostraca; Scalpellidae
Description: tRNA-Ala
Source: RNAcentral
GAAAUAGAAGUUUAAAAUAAUUGAGUUGCAAUCAAAAGAAGGUACCAAAGUUACCCUAUUUUA